CCUACGGGGGGCAGCAGUGGGGGAUAUUGCACAAUGGGGGGAACCCUGAUGCAGCGACGCCGCGUGUGGGAAGACGGUCCUCUGGAUUGUAAACCACUGUCCCCAGGGACGAAAAUGACGGUACCUGGGGAGGGAGCUCCGGCUAACUACGUGCCAGCAGCCGCGGUAAUACGUAGGGAGCGAGCGUUGUCCGGAAUUACGGGGUGUAAAGGGAGCGUAGGCGGGGAUGCAAGUUGGGUGUCAAAACUACCGGCUAAACUGGUAGUCGCACUCAAAACUGCAGCUCUUGAGUGAAGUAGAGGCAGGCGGAAUUCCUAGUGUAGCGGUGAAAUGCGUAGAUAUUAGGAGGAACACCAGUGGCGAAGGCGGCCUGCUGGGCUUUUACUGACGCUGAGGCUCGAAAGUGUGGGGAGCAAACAGGAUUAGAUACCCUGGUAGUC
This 440-nucleotide ribosomal RNA is filed under the name uncultured bacterium. Its description in RNAcentral is "partial 16S ribosomal RNA". It matches the Rfam family "Bacterial small subunit ribosomal RNA", at positions 338 to 795 of the family's 1533-position model. The record is from RNAcentral.